This 414-nucleotide ribosomal RNA is filed under the name uncultured bacterium. RNAcentral describes it as "bacterial SSU rRNA". It matches the Rfam family "Bacterial small subunit ribosomal RNA", at positions 355 to 786 of the family's 1533-position model. The record is from RNAcentral.
UGGGGAAUAUUGCACAAUGGGGGAAACCCUGAUGCAGCGACGCCGCGUGAGCGAAGAAGUAUUUCGGUAUGUAAAGCUCUAUCAGCAGGGAAGAAAAUGACGGUACCUGACUAAGAAGCCCCGGCUAACUACGUGCCAGCAGCCGCGGUAAUACGUAGGGGGCAAGCGUUAUCCGGAUUUACUGGGUGUAAAGGGAGCGUAGACGGACUGGCAAGUCUGAUGUGAAAACCCGGGGCUCAACCCCGGGACUGCAUUGGAAACUGUCAGUCUAGAGUGUCGGAGGGGUAAGUGGAAUUCCUAGUGUAGCGGUGAAAUGCGUAGAGAUCGGGAGGAACACCAGUGGCGAAGGCGGCCUACUGGGCUUUAACUGACGCUGAGGCACGAAAGCGUGGGUAGCAAACAGGAUUAGAUACC